AGAGUUUGAUCAUGGCUCAGGACGAACGCUGGCGGCGUGCCUAAUACAUGCAAGUCGAGCGGGUUUACCCUUCGGGGUAAGCUAGCGGCGGACGGGUGAGUAACACGUAGGUAACCUGCCUUCAAGACUGGGAUAACUAUCGGAAACGAUAGCUAAGACCGGAUAGCUGGUUUUCUCGCAUGAGAGAAUCAUGAAACACGGAGCAAUCUGUGGCUUGAAGAUGGGCCUGCGGCGCAUUAGCUAGUUGGUGAGGUAACGGCUCACCAAGGCGACGAUGCGUAGCCGACCUGAGAGGGUGAACGGCCACACUGGGACUGAGACACGGCCCAGGCUCCUACGGGAGGCAGCAGUAGGGAAUCUUCCGCAAUGGACGCAAGUCUGACGGAGCAACGCCGCGUGAGUGAUGAAGGUUUUCGGAUCGUAAAGCUCUGUUGCCCUAGACGAACAGCAGGGAGAGUAACUGCUCUCUGUGUGACGGUAUAGAGAAGAAGCC
RNAcentral lists this ribosomal RNA (493 nucleotides) under uncultured Paenibacillaceae bacterium. Its description in RNAcentral is "bacterial SSU rRNA". It matches the Rfam family "Bacterial small subunit ribosomal RNA", at positions 8 to 492 of the family's 1533-position model. Lineage: Bacteria; Bacillati; Bacillota; Bacilli; Caryophanales; Paenibacillaceae. The record is from RNAcentral.